UCCUACCGGAAUGGUAGGCCCGGAGAUGAGGGAGUGGCGUACUGGCGUGGAGCGACUGGGCAACCUGCCUUUGUCUGGGGGAUAGUCCUCCGAAAGGAGCAUUUCCCUCCAUAAUAUAUUGAACGGCAUCGUUUAAUAUUGAAAGCUCUGGCGGAUAGAGAUGGGCACGCUCAAGAAGAUUUAGUUGGCGAGGUAAGGGCUCUUCUCGGUGAUCAGCUUUUUGGGGCCUGAGAGGGUGAUCCGCCACACUGGGACUGAUAACUUGACCUCAUUCCCACCGGAGGCCGGUUUGACGAAUAUUGGCUAAUGGGAGCGACCCUGAACCAGCCGUCCACUGAGAAGGAGGACUGCCCUCUGGGUUG
Molecule: ribosomal RNA, 362 nt
Filed under: uncultured bacterium
Lineage: Bacteria
Description: bacterial SSU rRNA
Rfam family: Bacterial small subunit ribosomal RNA
Source: RNAcentral